AUGAACGCUAGCGGCAGGCUUAAUACAUGCAAGUCGUGGGGCAGCAUGAGUAGCAAUACCUGAUGGCGACCGGCAAACGGGUGAGGAACACGUACACAACCUUCCUUCCAGCGGGGAAUAGCCCAGAGAAAUUUGGAUUAAUACCCCAUAAUAUAUUUGAUAAGGCAUCUUAUUAAUAUUAAAGCUUCGGCACUUGAUGAUGGGUGUGCGGCUGAUUAGAUAGUUGGCGGGGUAACGGCCCACCAAGUCUACGAUCAGUAGCUGAUGUGAGAGCAUGAUCAGCCACACGGGCACUGAGACACGGGCCCGACUCCUACGGGAGGCAGCAGUAAGGAAUAUUGGACAAUGGACGAAAGUCUGAUCCAGCCAUGCCGCGUGAAGGAUUAAGGUCCUCUGGAUUGUAAACUUCUUUUAUAUGGGACGAAAAAAGGGCAUUCUUGUUCACUUGACGGUACCAUAUGAAUAAGCACCGGCUAACUCCGUG
This 484-nucleotide ribosomal RNA is filed under the name uncultured bacterium. RNAcentral describes it as "bacterial SSU rRNA". It matches the Rfam family "Bacterial small subunit ribosomal RNA", at positions 29 to 507 of the family's 1533-position model. The record is from RNAcentral.